UGGGGAAUAUUGCACAAUGGGCGCAAGCCUGAUGCAGCCAUGCCGCGUGUAUGAAGAAGGCCUUCGGGUUGUAAAGUACUUUCAGUCGGGAGGAAGGUGGUAAGGUUAAUAACCUUAUCAAUUGACGUUACCGACAGAAGAAGCACCGGCUAACUCCGUGCCAGCAGCCGCGGUAAUACGGAGGGUGCAAGCGUUAAUCGGAAUUACUGGGCGUAAAGCGCACGCAGGCGGUUGAUUGAGUCAGAUGUGAAAUCCCCGGGCUUAACCCGGGAAUUGCAUCUGAUACUGGUCAGCUAGAGUCUUGUAGAGGGGGGUAGAAUUCCAUGUGUAGCGGUGAAAUGCGUAGAGAUGUGGAGGAAUACCGGUGGCGAAGGCGGCCCCCUGGACAAAGACUGACGCUCAGGUGCAAAAGCGUGGGGAGCAAACAGG
This 429-nucleotide ribosomal RNA is filed under the name Chloroflexota bacterium. RNAcentral's name for it is "Chloroflexi bacterium partial 16S ribosomal RNA". It matches the Rfam family "Bacterial small subunit ribosomal RNA", at positions 355 to 776 of the family's 1533-position model. The record is from RNAcentral. Lineage: Bacteria; Bacillati; Chloroflexota.